GACGAACGCUGGCGGCGUGCUUAACACAUGCAAGUCGAACGGAAAGGCCCGGCUUUUGUGGGGUGCUCGAGUGGCGAACGGGUGAGUAACACGUGAGUAACCUGUCCUUGACUUUGGGAUAACUUCAGGAAACUGGGGCUAAUACCGGAUAGGAGCUCCUGCUGCAUGGUGGGGGUUGGAAAGUUUCGGCGGUUGGGGCUGGUCUCGCGGCUUAUCAGCUUGUUGGGGGGGUAGUGGAUUACCAAGGCUUUGAAGGGUAGCAGGCGUGAGAGGGUGGCCGGCCACAUUGGGACUGAGGUACGCACCAGACUGCUACGGGAGGCAGCGGGGGAGAGUAUUGCACAAUGGGCGGAAGCCUGAGGCAGCAACGCCGCGUGCGGGAUGACGGCCUUCGGGUUGUAAACCGCUUUCGCCUGUGACGAAGCGUGAGUGACGGUAAUGGGUAAAGAAGCACCGGCUAACUACGUG
This 468-nucleotide ribosomal RNA is filed under the name uncultured bacterium. RNAcentral's name for it is "partial 16S ribosomal RNA". It matches the Rfam family "Bacterial small subunit ribosomal RNA", at positions 28 to 507 of the family's 1533-position model. The record is from RNAcentral.